GCACAAGCGGUGGAGCAUGUGGUUUAAUUCGAAGCAACGCGAAGAACCUUACCAGGUCUUGACAUCCCUGACAACCCGAGAGAUCGGGCGUUCCCCUUCGGGGGACAGGGUGACAGGUGGUGCAUGGUUGUCGUCAGCUCGUGUCGUGAGAUGUUGGGUUAAGUCCCGCAACGAGCGCAACCCUCGACCUUAGUUGCCAGCAUUCAGUUGGGCACUCUAAGGUGACUGCCGGCUAAAAGUCGGAGGAAGGUGGGGAUGACGUCAAAUCAUCAUGCCCCUUAUGACCAGGGCUUCACACGUCAUACAAUGGUCGGUACAGAGGGUUGCCAAGCCGCGAGGUGGAGCCAAUCCCAGAAAGCCGAUCGUAGUCCGGAUUGUUCUCUGCAACUCGAGAGCAUGGAGUCGGAAUCGCUAGUAAUCGCGGAUCAGCAUGUCGCGGUGAAUACGUUCCCGGGUCUU
This 459-nucleotide ribosomal RNA is filed under the name uncultured Anoxybacillus sp. RNAcentral describes it as "bacterial SSU rRNA". It matches the Rfam family "Bacterial small subunit ribosomal RNA", at positions 923 to 1382 of the family's 1533-position model. Lineage: Bacteria; Bacillati; Bacillota; Bacilli; Caryophanales; Anoxybacillaceae. The record is from RNAcentral.